This 3114-nucleotide ribosomal RNA is filed under the name Triticum aestivum (bread wheat). RNAcentral describes it as "partial small subunit ribosomal RNA". The record is from RNAcentral. Lineage: Eukaryota; Viridiplantae; Streptophyta; Magnoliopsida; Poales; Poaceae.
AUGUCGCGCCGCGGCCGCGAGGAGGAGGAGGAGUUCGAGGAGGUAGAGGAGGAGGAGGAGGCCGACGAGUCGGAGGUGGAGGAGGAGAGGGGCGAAAAGCGGUUGCGCGGCGGCGGGGGGAAGGGCUCGGGCGUCGCGAGCUUCAUCGACGACGCGGCCAGCGAGGACGACGACGAGGAGGAGGAGGAGGAAGAGGAUGACGACGACGAGGACGACGACUACGAGGAGGGCGGCCGCGGCCGCGGCCGCCGGCCCAGCAAGAGGAAGCGGUCGAUCCUGAUCGACGACAUGGCGCAGGUCGACGACGACGACGGCGAGGAGGAGGAGGAAGACGGGUACGAGGAAGGUUUUAUUGAUGAUGAUGCUCGGGCUGAUAAUCCUGACGAGGAUGUGCAAAGGGGUUCUAGACGUCAUUUCAAUCCAAAUCCAAUGGAUGAUGCAGAUGAUAUGGAGAACUUGGAAGAGAUGUUAAAAUGGAAAUAUAGAACGCAAUCACACUCUGAUUUUGAUGAAGAGGGUCUAACCGAGGUUGAACAGCAAGCUCUCCUGCCAUCAGUGAAUGAUCCAAAGCUCUGGAUGGUGAAAUGUGCGAUUGGACAUGAGCGAGAGACAGCCCUUUGUCUAAUGCAAAAGUUCAUUGAUAGGCAAGAUCUCCAGAUUAAGUCCGUCGUUGCAUUGGAACACCUAAAGAAUUACAUUUAUGUUGAAGCAGAGAAAGAAGCCCAUGUCAAGGAGGCUUGCAAAGGUCUGCGGAACAUCUUUUCUUCAGCAAAAAUACUUCUGGUUCCUACAAAAGAAAUGACUGAUGUUCUCUCUGUCACGAGUAAGUCUGCUGAUCUUUCAAUAGAUACAUGGGUCAGGUUGAAGCUUGGUAUAUAUAAAGGGGAUCUUGCUAAGGUUGUCGAAGUUGAUGAUGUGCGCCAAAAGGUUACUGUGAAGGUCAUUCCUAGAUUAGAUUUACAAGCUUUGACAGAUAAAUUGAAAGGUCUUAAGGUUGCAAAGAAGAAGUCGUUUAUUCCACCGCCAAGGUUAUUUAGUACCGACGAGGCGAGGGAGAUGAACAUUCCUGUAGAACGGAGGAGAGAUAGAGAUUCUGGGGAAUACUUUGAGAUGGUUGGCGCUUUAAAAUUUGAAGAUGGUUUCUUGCGCAAAAUAGUCUCGAUAAAAUCAAUCAGCACACAGAAUGUUAUGCCAUCACUUGAUGAAUUGGAGAAAUUCGGGAGAGUUGGUGAUGACGUGAAUGAAGAUGUGGCUAGAUUGUCCACACUCAGCAGGAAGAAGGGACAUUUUAUGAAAAGCGAUGCUGUAGUUGUUGUUAAAGGUGAUCUCAAGGACAUAAGGGGCUGUGUGGAGAAAGUAGAGGAUUCUAUUGUUCACAUCCGACCAACACCGACACAAUCUGAUCUUCCGAAAACACUUGCCUUCAGUGAGAAAGAUCUCUGCAAAUAUUUCAAUCCCGGGGACCAUGUAAAAGUGGUUUUUGGUGUUCAAGAAGGUGUGACAGGCAUGGUAGUUAAAGUGGAAGGACAUGUCUUGACUAUUUUAUCUGACACAAGCAAAGAACAUAUCCGUGUGUUUGCAGAUCAUGUUGUGGAGAGUUCUGAGGUCACGACGGGGCUUACCAGAAUUGGUGAUUAUGAAUUGCAUGAUCUUGUCCUUCUUGACAAUUUAUCAUUUGGUGUGAUUGUAAGGGUGGAAAGCGAAGCAUUUCAGGUUCUCAAAGGAGUGCCUGAUAAACCUGAAGUGGUGCUUGUGAAACUGAGAGAAAUAAAAUACAAAAUCGAUCGGCGCACAUCUGCAAAAGAUAGCAGGAAUAACACGGUGUCCACUAAGGAUAUUGUCAGGGUCAUUGAGGGGCCAUGCAAGGGAAAGCAAGGACCUGUGGAACAUAUACACAAAGGGAUAUGUUUUAUACAUGACCGCCACCACCUUGAACAUUCAGGCUUUAUCUGUGCAAAAGCACAAUCUUGUGUCCUUGUUGGGGGAUCGGUUGUCAACAGCAGCAGGAUGGGUGUUGAUACAGCAGAUCCACGGCUUGGUGCUUUUAGAUCUCCAGCAAGGAUCUUGCAAUCUCCUGGAGGGCUUCCGCCGAGAGGACCUUACAUGAAUUCUGGUGGAAGGUUUGGAGGAGGUGGUCGUGGUGGCAGAGGGCAUGAUGCCUUGGUGAGUAGAUGCAUCAAAAUUAAAUCUGGUCCCUACAAAGGAUAUCGUGGCCGUGUUAAAGAAGUGAAUGGUGCACUCGUGCGUGUGGAGCUUGAUUCACUUAUGAAGAUUGUCACAGUUAAGAGAGAGGAUAUUGCUGACACAGCGAAUGUUGGGACACCAUUCCGUGAAUCUCGUUAUUCAUUGGGCAGUGAAACACCUAUGCACCCAUCUCGAACGCCAUUGUAUCCUAUUCAAACUCCAAUGCGAGAACCUGGAGCGACACCAAUUUGUGAUGGAUCGCAAACUCCUAUGCAUAAUCAAGCCUGGGCACCAAUGAGUCCACCGAGGGAUAACCAGGAAGAUGGAAAUCGUGGCACUUGGGGCGCUUGGGGGAGCAGUCCAGCUUACCAGCCAGGAACUCCAGUAGCUAGGCCAUUUGAUGCCCCCACUCCUGGAUCAGGGUGGGAAAGUACCUCUGGAACUGGCUUUGGUGAUGCUCCAUUCAACGCUCCAACACCUAGUGCUCAACCAAUGACCCCAAUUCCUGCCUCUUAUUUGCCUGGAACCCCUGGUGGCCAGCUAAUGACCCCAGGGAAUGCUGGAAUGGGUGCAAUGUCUCCAAUGAUAGGGGAUGAGGGCGGCAGUAAUUGGCUCUUGCCAGAUGUUUGCGUCAAUGUGUCCAGAGGAGAUGGUUCCACCAAUGGUGUGGUGAAGGAAGUACUCCUGGAUGGAUCUUGCCGUGUCGCACUUGGGCCAUCAGGGAGUGGGGAUGAAGUAACAGCUCUUCCAGACGAGCUCGAGAUCAUCAGGCCGAAGAAGAGCGACAGGGUCAAGAUAAUGAAUGGCAGCAUGCGUGGAGUUAUAGGAAGACUGGUAGGAGUCGACGGGUCUGAUGGGAUUGUCCGGGUGGAAAACCCGCUUGACAUGAAAAUAGUAGACCUGGUGAUUUUGGGCAAACUAGCAACUUGA